This 478-nucleotide ribosomal RNA is filed under the name uncultured bacterium. Its description in RNAcentral is "partial 16S ribosomal RNA". It matches the Rfam family "Bacterial small subunit ribosomal RNA", at positions 28 to 523 of the family's 1533-position model. The record is from RNAcentral.
AUUGAACGCUGGCGGCGUGCUUAACACAUGCAAGUCGAACGGUAAGGCCCUUCGGGGUACACGAGUGGCGAACGGGUGAGUAACACGUGGGUGAUCUGCCCUGCACUUCGGGAUAAGCCUGGGAAACUGGGUCUAAUACCGGAUAGGACCCUGGGAUGCAUGUCCUGGGGUGGAAAGCUUUUGCGGUGUGGGAUGGGCCCGCGGCCUAUCAGCUUGUUGGUGGGGUGAUGGCCUACCAAGGCGACGACGGGUAGCCGGCCUGAGAGGGUGACCGGCCACACUGGGACUGAGAUACGGCCCAGACUCCUACGGGAGGCAGCAGUGGGGAAUAUUGCACAAUGGGCGCAAGCCUGAUGCAGCGACGCCGCGUGAGGGAUGACGGCCUUCGGGUUGUAAACCUCUUUCAGCACCGACGAAGCGCAAGUGACGGUAGGUGCAGAAGAAGGACCGGCCAACUACGUGCCAGCCGCCGCAGUAA